Molecule: long non-coding RNA, 2901 nt
Organism: Gallus gallus (chicken)
Lineage: Eukaryota; Metazoa; Chordata; Aves; Galliformes; Phasianidae
Exons: 2
Source: RefSeq, a predicted model, not a curated record
ACCAGAGCCUCCUAAGUACACCAGAGCCUCCUAAGAUUCAUUUAUUGUUUGCUACUGGAGGGACUGGAAUGCUCCUGGACACAGAAUGAAAAUCCAUUCAGCUCAGCAUAAGGGAAACUGCAUAAACCAAAGUACAAUAACUGUGAAACUGCAAUUUCAUAGGUGGUGUCCAAGGCAAGAGGCAAUGGGCAUAAACUAGAAUACAGGAAGUUCCAUAUGAACACCAGGAAGCACUUUUCUACUUCGGAGGUGCUGGAGCACUGGCACAGGCUGCGCGGUGGCUGAGGAGUCUCCUCCUUGGAGAUGACUGAAAGCUGCCUAGCCGUGGAUCUGGGCACCCUGCUCUGGGUGUCCCUGCUGGAGCAGGGCUUGGGUCAGGUGGACCCACAGAAGUCCCUGCCAGACUCAAUCACUCUGUGAUUUUGUGACUCUAUUUCUUGUUGCUCUGCUGGUCUCACAGAAUAUUUAUUUUUGAUGUUUGGGUAACAUUAACUGUAAGUAUUUUGAAUGAUCUAGUCAAAACUGUCCAUUGGAUUUGUCACCCAAUUAGUUUUCCUGUAUCUUUGAUUCAGAACAGAAGUUCUUUGGGUUGUACUCUUUACACAUUCACUGUCCAGGGUCAGACACUCUCCUAGGGAGUUUUUCUGAUAUAAAAUACAGACUCAGAAUGGUACCCCAGGAAAGCAGUAAUGAAUAUCCACUGUAGACCAGACACAUGCUCCUCUCAUGCAGUGCAUGUGCAUGCAUGUGUGUGUAAGAGGAAAGGUCUCUAUAGCAUAUUCUCUAUGAUUGUAAUUCUAUAAUAGGAAUGAGUAGAAAAGAUGAACUCAGGGACAAGAGAGGUGCUGGCUCAGCUCAUGAAAUGUGCUGGGGUGGUUGUUCAUGGGCUCUGAGACCACUCAUCUUGUGUGGUUCAAAAAUAUGUUAUUGCGGGGCUAUUCUUUGUGCACUGGAAGUGCAAAUACUCUGCACACCUCACAGGGAUUAUAUUGCUUGGUUAUUCAGCAGCAAUUCUGUAUACUGUGAAGGAGUGCUCAAAUUCUAAGUAAAACCUAUAUAGUUUAGAUUCAAAACUGCCUUUACAACAGUAAUAAAAUGAGGCUAAUAAGCGACCUCACUCCCCCAGAAUCUUUCACGGUUAUUUAAAGGAUUGAGUUGAGAAGAGGAAAAGAGUGAAAAAGAAAAUGAGAGAACAGGAAGGAAGGAAAGAAAAGCAAGAAAGCAAGAAAGACAGUAAGAAGAAGAAAAAGGAUAAUUGUCCCCACAUCCUCACAGAUGAUUGAAGGGCUCACAAAAGGGUUUUUCAAUGCUGUGCUGUAAUAUCUUAUUUUAGGUUCUGAUCUGAAAUCCUUUGACGUCAGCUAACUUCCAUUGACUUUAAUGUGCUCUAGAUCAAGCCUGUUAUGUGGAUCUCAGACUUACUGUCUGCGGAUUAGCAUGAAUCUCUGGAUUAGCUUUCCAGAACAAACAAGUGACUUUAAAAAUGAAUUAGGCUAGUGUUUUAACAUUAACAGGUUUCAAUAUAAAUGUGACUGAGCAGAUGGGUGGCACGGUGUUUUUGAAAGGUGUGUGAUUGUCAUUUUAACAGCAUGUUUUCUGUUGGGGUUAAUAGUAUUUAGGUUAAUGGAAAAGGUGCCUGUCUUGUGAAGCGUUUUCAGCAGAAAUGUUGGAGUCUAAACAAAAAUCUUUUCCCAUUCUGAAAAAUAUGUGGAGCUGCAGAAUUUUGCUACUUUCCCCUUUAUCUCCUACCUAUGUGUCUACAUUAUGUACCUAGUGAGUAUAUCUAUGCCAUUAUAAAAUGUAUAAUCUUCAUCAGUUGAUAAUAUGUAUCAUCUCUGUUAGAUUACAGAAGACUGUAUGCAUAUUAAAAUACAGACAUACCUACCUUAUACUUGUAUAAUAUUAAAUAUCUUUAAAGCUCUAAUGCCAUAUAUUAUUCCAGAAUCAUGAUUUCUUGACAUUUUGGAAAUUCCAUCUAGUUUUUUUUUUUUUAAGUAUCACAACUUUCUCACAGGUUUGACAUCAACCAGUCUUUCAGUUCUAACUCAUGGCUCUGUUCCAGUUUGAUUCCUGUAUGUGCACAUGUCAGUUGGCAACACACCAGCACUACAGAAAUAUCAUGGACUAAAGUAGGAUAUAAUACUCAGCCCUUAGAUUCCCUCAGCCAGAAAAUAGCCCUUGGGCUCUUCAGCAGUGCCUGCGGGGCAGUGAGUGUCGUCUUCAUGCUCUGGGAUUACUGGUUGUACCGCGGAGGAGUCCCAUAAAAGAAAGGUCUCAUAGGAGCAGGGUCUAUGCUCGCAUGCUGGAGGAGGGAGGAAUGGUCCGGAAGAUCCCGUGCCUUCUCCAUGUGAAACCCUGAGAGACAAAUCUCAGCCCUGAGAAACACCUGAUUGCCUGGCAGCAGCCGAAAAAAGAAGAUCCUUCCGCUCUGGAACACUUCCUUAGAAAGCUGUGAGAGUAAUGAGAACUUGGUGACAUUGGAAAUGGUUCAGAUUGCAGUCAGCAUUCAGCAACAUGAGCUUAACUGAGUUAUGUAGCAGAGACUUCAGAUUAGCACACCAAAACAAUUGGUGUGAACAGAAAGUGCUAAUGAAUCUAAGCUGCAAUUUGGCACCCAGAUGAAAAUAAAUUAUCCAAUAUGAUCCAAAAAUGCCAUGCAGUUCUCAAACGGAAAGGCUGUAUUGCUUCUGAAUAAGCUGGCAUGCAUAUUAUGCAUUGCUUUUCCUGCUCAUUUGAUAAACUUCUCUCUGUAUAUUUUGGCACAUUCAAACAAUCUUUUAUUAGAAAUGAUUGACUGUUCAUUAUUAAACUAUUAUUUUCAAUUAAAACAUGUCCUAUCCCCCCAAAAAAUCAAUUUAAAUAAUAAAAUAAAAACUGUGUUUUGAUUGUUUGUUUUGCACA